GGUACCUUAGCUCAGAUGGUAGAGCAACGGACUGAAAAUCCGUGUGUCCCUGGUUCGAUCCCUGGAGGCACCACCA
Molecule: transfer RNA, 76 nt
Filed under: Flavobacterium sp.
Lineage: Bacteria; Pseudomonadati; Bacteroidota; Flavobacteriia; Flavobacteriales; Flavobacteriaceae
Description: tRNA-Phe
Rfam family: tRNA
About the family: Transfer RNA (tRNA) molecules are approximately 80 nucleotides in length.
Source: RNAcentral